UACGUAGGAGGCAAGCGUUGUCCGGAAUUACUGGGCGUAAAGCGCGUGUAGGUGGUGGGACAAGUCUGCUGUGAAAGCGCCUGGCUUAACCGGGCGAGGUCGGCGGAAACUGUCCGACUCGAGGACGGUAGAGGGGGGUGGAAUUCCCGGUGUAGUGGUGAAAUGCGUAGAUAUCGGGAGGAACACCUGUGGCGAAAGCGGCUCACUGGACCAUAACUGACGCUGAUGCACGAAAGCUGGGGGAGCAAACAGG
This 253-nucleotide ribosomal RNA is filed under the name uncultured bacterium. Its description in RNAcentral is "partial 16S ribosomal RNA". It matches the Rfam family "Bacterial small subunit ribosomal RNA", at positions 524 to 776 of the family's 1533-position model. The record is from RNAcentral.